RNAcentral lists this ribosomal RNA (692 nucleotides) under Melanelia hepatizon. Its description in RNAcentral is "partial small subunit ribosomal RNA". It matches the Rfam family "Bacterial small subunit ribosomal RNA", at positions 375 to 1036 of the family's 1533-position model. Lineage: Eukaryota; Fungi; Ascomycota; Lecanoromycetes; Lecanorales; Parmeliaceae. The record is from RNAcentral.
GCAAUAGCUACUUGCAUCAUUGUAAAUAUGAUGCAAGAUCGACUAUGUCGAAUAAAAUUCUAGGUAGAAUUAUGAUAAUGACAUUGUCUGCCUAUGUGUCUUGACCAAAUUACGUGCCAGCUGUCGCGGUAAUACGUAGAAGACUAGUGUUAUUCAUGUUUAAUCGGUUUAAAGGGUACCUAGACGGUAAAUCAAGCCUAAAAAGAAGGAAAUAAAGGGACUAAUUUACUAGAGUUACUUAUGAGGGGGUAUUAAAGUACUGCUGGUGUAGAGAUGAAAUUCUGUCAUACCUCUUUUCAAUAGAAAAAUAAUGGCACAGGUAUAGGCGAAGGCAUCCCCUUAUGUGAUAACUGACGUUGAGGGACGAAGGCUUUGUGUAGCGAACAGGAUUAGAUACCCCAGUAGUCAAAGCAGAAAAUGAUGAAUGUCAUAGAUUAGAUAUAUAAGUUUAUUCUAUAAAUGAAAGUGUAAGCAUUCCACCUCAAGAGUAAUUUGGCAACAUUGGAACUGAAAUCAUUAGACCGUUUCUGAAACCAGUAGUGAAGUAUGUUGUUUAAUUUGAUAAUCCGCAAAAAACCUUACCACAAUUUGAAUAUUUAUAUUUUUUUUUAUUGUUUUUCUUUUUAAUUAUCUUCCGAUUUUCUAGUUAAAGGAAAACUAGAAGAAAAAGAAAAAAAAGGCAAUAAGAUAUA